UGGGAACGUGCCCUUUGGUUCGGAACAACUCCGGGAAACUGGAGCUAAUACCGGAUAAGCCCUUCGGGGGAAAGAUUUAUCGCCAAAGGAUCGGCCCGCGUCUGAUUAGCUAGUUGGUGAGGUAACGGCUCACCAAGACGACGAUCAGUAGCUGGUCUGAGAGGAUGAUCAGCCACACUGGGACUGAGACACGGCCCAGACUCCUACGGGAGGCAG
RNAcentral lists this ribosomal RNA (216 nucleotides) under uncultured bacterium. RNAcentral describes it as "partial 16S ribosomal RNA". It matches the Rfam family "Bacterial small subunit ribosomal RNA", at positions 118 to 351 of the family's 1533-position model. The record is from RNAcentral.